Molecule: ribosomal RNA, 923 nt
Filed under: Helotiales sp.
Lineage: Eukaryota; Fungi; Ascomycota; Leotiomycetes; Helotiales
Description: SSU rRNA
Rfam family: Eukaryotic small subunit ribosomal RNA
Source: RNAcentral
GUCUAGUAUAAGCAAUCUAUACGGUGAAACUGCGAAUGGCUCAUUAAAUCAGUUAUCGUUUAUUUGAUAGUACCUUACUACUUGGAUAACCGUGGUAAUUCUAGAGCUAAUACAUGCUAAAAACCUCGACUUCGGAAGGGGUGUAUUUAUUAGAUAAAAAACCAAUGCCCUUCGGGGCUCCUUGGUGAUUCAUAAUAACUUAACGAAUCGCAUGGCCUUGUGCCGGCGAUGGUUCAUUCAAAUUUCUGCCCUAUCAACUUUCGAUGGUAGGAUAGUGGCCUACCAUGGUUUCAACGGGUAACGGGGAAUUAGGGUUCUAUUCCGGAGAGGGAGCCUGAGAAACGGCUACCACAUCCAAGGAAGGCAGCAGGCGCGCAAAUUACCCAAUCCCGACACGGGGAGGUAGUGACAAUAAAUACUGAUACAGGGCUCUUUUGGGUCUUGUAAUUGGAAUGAGUACAAUUUAAAUCCCUUAACGAGGAACAAUUGGAGGGCAAGUCUGGUGCCAGCAGCCGCGGUAAUUCCAGCUCCAAUAGCGUAUAUUAAAGUUGUUGCAGUUAAAAAGCUCGUAGUUGAACCUUGGGCCUGGUUGGUCGGUCCGCCUCACCGCGUGCACUGAUCCGACCGGGUCUUUCCUUCUGGGGAGCCGCAUGCCCUUCACUGGGUGUGUCGGGGAACCAGGACUUUUACUUUGAAAAAAUUAGAGUGUUCAAAGCAGGCCUAUGCUCGAAUACAUUAGCAUGGAAUAAUAGAAUAGGACGUGUGGUUCUAUUUUGUUGGUUUCUAGGACCGCCGUAAUGAUUAAUAGGGAUAGUCGGGGGCAUCAGUAUUCCGUUGUCAGAGGUGAAAUUCUUGGAUUUACGGAAGACUAACUACUGCGAAAGCAUUUGCCAAGGAUGUUUUCAUUAAUCAGUGAACGAAAG